Small nuclear RNA from Tupaia belangeri (northern tree shrew), 107 nucleotides. The record is from Ensembl. Lineage: Eukaryota; Metazoa; Chordata; Mammalia; Scandentia; Tupaiidae.
GUGCUCACUUCGGCAGCACAUAUACUAAAAUUGGAAUUAUAUAGAGAAGAUUAGCAUGGUCACUGCACACAGAUGACAAGCAAAUUCGUGAAACAUUCAAUAUUUUU